UACGGAGGAUGCGAGCGUUAUCCGGAAUCAUUGGGUUUAAAGGGUGCGUAGGCUGGUAUUUAAGUCAGUGGUGAAAUUUUCGUGCUUAACAUGAGAGCUGCCAUUGACUACUGGGUACCUAGAGUGUAUUUGAUGUGGCGGAAUGUGGUUGUGUAGCUGGUGAAAUGCUUAGAUAUGACACAGAACACCGAUAGCGAAGGCAGCCCACAAAGUUACAACUGACGCUGAUGCACGAAAGCGUGGGGAU
RNAcentral lists this ribosomal RNA (247 nucleotides) under uncultured bacterium. RNAcentral describes it as "partial 16S ribosomal RNA". It matches the Rfam family "Bacterial small subunit ribosomal RNA", at positions 524 to 768 of the family's 1533-position model. The record is from RNAcentral.